Non-coding RNA from Physcomitrium patens, 1463 nucleotides. The record is from RefSeq and is a predicted model, not a curated record. Lineage: Eukaryota; Viridiplantae; Streptophyta; Bryopsida; Funariales; Funariaceae.
GCCGCGCUCCAGGAGACAGGGAACCAGGUGGGUAAGUGCGUAGGUAGGGCGGAUGGCAAAUACUGCGGGCAGCGUGGAAAACUUUUCUGCAGGCGAAGCACAAGACGAAGCGGGUGAUGGUGGAAUUAGGGCCUGGUGUGUGCACGUUGGUGAUCGUGAUGGCGAAGGAAGAUUUGCUGCAUCAUCUAACUCUGCUUGUGCGCUUCUCGACCUUCGACCUCCGUCUCUGUGGGUAAUGUCCCUCCCCUCACUUUCACCCUCCUGCGCCGUCGGCGUCGGCGUAACACCAUGUCCAAUUUUUUCUGCCGAGGUUUACAGCAGACAUGAGAUUACUUUCAAGAGCAGAUUUGAUGCUUGCUACACCUAUGAAGUUUGUGAGCAUGCGUGCGACAAAUAAAUUGACUAGCUGAUGGUGUAUCCAUCACCGGGCUAAAUUGUACCAGGGUUUUUUGAGAAAAAGUUCUUUGUGAUCGGUCUGGCUAGAUUGUAGACGGGUGACAACUAAAUCUUAUGAAAGUGAGAUCUUCUAUGAUGUUUUGCAGCGUCUAAAUGGCACCUUUAGAUCUGCUGCUCUUCACAUAACCUUCGUCUGUUGCAGUAUCAAUUUGGCGAUGGAUGUUUGUAUACUAUUUUUUAGGCUUAGUGGUACUAUCUGUAAUGUUUGGCAAGUACGAUUGAUAGACACAGUCGGAACUGGUUAAAAUGAUACUACGAGUUCGGACACCUUUUUCAAUCGAGAAGAUAUUCGAUCUAAAUUGGUGACGUACUGUUUCGGACGACUGGUACAUUGAGAACAGCGAUAACGGAGCAAACCAUUGAGAGUGGCGAGCUCGUCUUCUACAGCACGGUCCAUUUUGGCUUUGCUCUUCCAGUCAUGACCUCCUGCAGCAAUCAAGGGCGUGAACUUUGAGCCACCUAAUCGCUAACCUACACUUAGCAAUCCACUAUCUUAAUUUCUUGCCUCAACUUAUGAUUGAUAGAUGUGCGAAAAAAUAACGGAGGGUACUACCGGACAGUGGGACGACCACAUUGCCUGGAGGCGCAUCGUUGCAUACAUGACUUUUCAACACUUGAGGAUACAGCACAUCUAAAUUAAAGGAAAACCACGUAGUGACAGUCAUUUAAGAACCCUUUCGAAUUUGAACUGCUGCCUAAUCCUGGCUGUAAGAGGGUGGAGCGCACUUAUGGCAGGUUCAUGUCACAUACAGAUAGGUCCACCACCUGUCCUACCUGACCCAAAAUUUAGAAUCUCAUUGAUGAACAGUAGGUCACAAGAGUAGGUGACAGCAAAUAAGAUUGGCAAAGUUGAACAAUUUGGUAGAUUUCCAGAAGUUUUCACAAGCAGACCACAAUUUUUUCGGAUCCAGAAGAUGAUUAAAUCCCAAUCUUCAGCACGUAUCCCUACAAAUGCUGUAAGAUAUGAUAACCUACGCUCUCGGAAAUUUAUUUGAAAAAGCCCAAUA